RNAcentral lists this ribosomal RNA (54 nucleotides) under Enterocloster clostridioformis. RNAcentral's name for it is "partial 23S ribosomal RNA". The record is from RNAcentral. Lineage: Bacteria; Bacillati; Bacillota; Clostridia; Lachnospirales; Lachnospiraceae.
AGUGCAGUAAUGUACGUAGCUGACUAAUACUAAUCGGUCGAGGGCUUAUCCAAA